This 29-nucleotide non-coding RNA is filed under the name Mus musculus (house mouse). Lineage: Eukaryota; Metazoa; Chordata; Mammalia; Rodentia; Muridae. The record is from RNAcentral.
UAAAUGAAAAACCAAAAAGAACCUAUGUU